UACUCCUAUGUCACCACCCAGUUUGGUCGCCCCAUCCACGCUAUCCAAACCGACAACGGGAAGGAGUUCGACAACCUCGCGGUUCGCACCCUCCUCACCACACAUGGCACGAUAUUUCGUCUCACUUGUCCCUAUACCUCGCAACAAAAUGGGCGCGCAGAACGGGUCUUACGCACUCUUAACGAUUGUGUCCGCACCUUGUUAUUUCAUGCUAAUGUGCCACCCCGCUUCUGGCCCGAUGCACUUGCCACCGCAUCACGCCUCAUCAACAUUCGGCCUUGUCGCGUCCGUGGCAACUUUGCACCACACCACUUGCUUUUCGGGAGCCCCCCAUCCUAUGACGAUCUUCGCAUCUUCGGGUGCCUCUGCUAUCCCAGCAUCGCCUCUACCACCCCUCAUAAGCUCGCCCCUCGCUCUCUUGCGUGCAUCUUCUUGGGUUACCCUGCCAACACCAAGGGCUACCGCUGCUACGACCCUGUUUCUCACCGUGUCUUCACCUCUAGACACGUUUACUUUGACGAAAGGGUUUUU
RNAcentral lists this ribosomal RNA (531 nucleotides) under Triticum aestivum (bread wheat). RNAcentral describes it as "partial small subunit ribosomal RNA". The record is from RNAcentral. Lineage: Eukaryota; Viridiplantae; Streptophyta; Magnoliopsida; Poales; Poaceae.